Molecule: long non-coding RNA, 862 nt
Filed under: Nicotiana benthamiana
Lineage: Eukaryota; Viridiplantae; Streptophyta; Magnoliopsida; Solanales; Solanaceae
Description: long non-coding RNA (NBEN_LNC007091)
Source: RNAcentral
AACAUAGUAGGGGUAUAACAAACAUGUUUAAGAAAAUGUGGGAUUUAAACAAGUCAAGAAGAGAGAAGAGGUAGUAUAACACUUAAGAAAAUAGUACACGAAACAUGUUGAAAAAGAACUCAAACAAGGUACAGUAAAAAGGCAAGCAAGGAACUUAAGAACUCAGUAGGAGAUACGUAUAGUAAAAGAGCAAAAAAUACCAAAAAAGUAUAUCAACAAGACAUAGAGGAAAAUUAUAGUAGGACGAACAUGUAAGCAUGGUGUAGAAACACAAUAGAAAGAUAAUGCACAGCAGAACAUAUGUAGUAGAAAAACAUAAGAAAGCAGUAGAAAUACAUGUGUGACAAAUACACAAAAAGAAAAAGGAAAAUAACAGUCGGAGAAAACAUUUUGAGUUUUUCAGAAAUCCUAAGUCAGAGAGAAGUAAUUUUUGAAAUAAAAAUUGGGGAAACCGUUUUACAACUCAAGUGGAGCAUAGAUAUAGGACCAAUAUAAGAAGAAGAAAACAGAGAAAACCUCGGAUAGCUAGGGUUUCAGAGGAACCCUAAAGCGAGAAAGGCUUGGAAAAGGACUAAUCUAAGUCAAAUAAGUCAGAACCAGGCUCGAAAUCCUUUGGAUACGCUGGAGCAAAGCGGGAGAGGCCAUGGAACCUUGAAUCAGAGAAAAUCUGAAAGGACACCAUCAAGGCAGACCUCAAAACUUCGAACACCAAGAAUUAAAGAGCAGAGAUAGAUGGGUAUAGUCCAUCCGUGGCCUGAGAGGCCAUGGAUUCUUGUGAGUUUGCAGUUGAAAAUGGAAGAAGGUGAUUAGGGUUUCAAGAACCUUCGAGAGAGUUUGAGAGAUGAGAGUAUCUAGGGGCGGC